AUUGAACGCUGGCGGCAGGCCUAACACAUGCAAGUCGAACGGAGUGGCGGACGGGUGAGUAAUGUCUGGGAAACUGCCUGAUGGAGGGGGAUAAAUACGGGAAACGGUAGCUAAUACGGCAUACUAUGAGAUGAGCCUAGGUCGGAUUAGCUAGUUGGUGGGGUACAGGCCAACCAAGGCGACGAUCCGUAACUGGGCUGAGAGGAUGAUCAGUCACACUGGAACUGAGACACGGUCCAGACUCCUACGGGAGGCAGCAGUGGGGAAUAUUGGACAAUGGGCGAAAGCCUGAUCCAGCCAUGCCGCGUUUGUGAAGAAGGUCUUCGGAUUGUAAAGCACUUUAAGUUGGGAGGCGUUACCAACAGAAUAAGCACCGGCUAACUUCGUGCCAGCAGCCGCGGUAAUAC
RNAcentral lists this ribosomal RNA (407 nucleotides) under uncultured bacterium. RNAcentral describes it as "partial 16S ribosomal RNA". It matches the Rfam family "Bacterial small subunit ribosomal RNA", at positions 30 to 526 of the family's 1533-position model. The record is from RNAcentral.